AUGUGGGUGUCUUUUUUUUAUGUGUGUGUGUGUGUUGUAGAGGUUAACAGAAACAAAGUGUUUAAAACUACCAGGGUGCGGACUUUACUGAAAAAGGAUGGCUGUUGGAUCCAGAGUCAGAAGUCAAACAAGGAGAAAGAAGGAGCAAGGAAAGGCCAUGAUGUGGAGACGUCCUCAGUCCCGCGGCAUACAUCCGUCCAGUCCUUAGCAAAGAAGUUUGAGCCGCAAGCACCCACAGAAGAAAUUAUCCAAAAUGACACCCAAUCAGAAGAAAGAUGUGCCAACAUGACUGCCGACGUCUCUGCAGAAGUUCAUGUUACAGAAGAAAUCCAAAAUGGUGAACCACAUGAAAUUCCUUCAACAAAGAGAAAUCCAGAAGCAGUUUCUCCCGUGCAACCAGCUGAGCAGGCAGUUGCCAACACAACUACAGAAAACAAGGGAGAACAAACUAAUAAAACAGUUGAGCAGUCAAACCAAGAACACAGUGAGGCCAAGGUCUCAGCCAAUGCCCAUGUGCAAGACCCUGAGGCAGAAACCUGUGUAGCUCCUGCAGUCAAACCUAAACCCAAAGAGGAACCUGCAACCAAAACAGAGCAGGACAUUGCAACACAAUUAGAACAUGCAGAAGUACAAUCAACUGUGCAGCUUGCAGAGGGAAAUUGUAUGAAAGGUCCUCCAAAACAGGGUGCAGGAGAAAUUGUAGAAGCUAAAGCUGAGGUUGCUGUGGCUCCAUCACCUGAGAUAAGUGACGUUGUUGAUGCAACACUUGUAAAAGAGGUUGUCCUUCAAGAGAGCGUCGAAGCUGUCGCUGAGAUUGUGACAAAGUCUCCAUUGAACACUAGCAACGCGUUGGAGACCACACCUGGAAACAAAGCCGCGCUAGAGAUCAGUGUGGAACCAGUGCCUGACUUAUUGGCAGAACCUGAAUCUGAGGGGCCCUCUCAACGCGUUACUGAAACUGCUCCAGCGGGGAAUCGUGAGAAAGGUCCUCCAGAACAAGCUGCAGCAGAAAUUGUCAAAGCUAAAGCUGAGGUUGCUGUGGCGCCAUCCCCUGAGAUAAGUGACGUUGUUGAUGCAACACUUGUAAAAGAGGUUGUCCUUGAAGAGAGCGCCGAAGCUGUCGCUGAGAUUGUGACAAAGCCCUCAUCGAACACGACCAACGCGUUGGAGACCACACCUGGAAACAAAGCCGCGCUAGAGAUCAGUGUGGAACCAGUGCCUGACUUAUUGGCAGAACCUGAAUCUGAGGGGCCCUCUCAACGCGUUACUGAAACUGCUCCAGCGGGGAAUCGUGAGAAAGGUCCUCCAGAACAAGCUGCAGCAGAAAUUGUCAAAGCUAAAGCUGAGGUUGCUGUGGCGCCAUCCCCUGAGAUAAGGGACGUUGUUGAUGCAACACUUGUAAAAGAGGUUGUCCUUGAAGAGAGCGCCGAAGCUGUCGCUGAGAUUGUGACAAAGCCNNNNNNNNNNUUCAUCGAACACGACCAACGCGUUGGAGACCACACCUGGAAACAAAGCCGCGCUAGAGAUCAGUGUGGAACCAGUGCCUGA
Molecule: long non-coding RNA, 1548 nt
Organism: Gasterosteus aculeatus (three-spined stickleback)
Lineage: Eukaryota; Metazoa; Chordata; Actinopteri; Perciformes; Gasterosteidae
Source: Ensembl